GUGGGGAAUCUUGCGCAAUGGGCGAAAGCCUGACGCAGCCAUGCCGCGUGAAUGAUGAAGGUCUUAGGAUUGUAAAAUUCUUUCACCGGGGACGAUAAUGACGGUACCCGGAGAAGAAGCCCCGGCUAACUUCGUGCCAGCAGCCGCGGUAAUACGAAGGGGGCUAGCGUUGCUCGGAAUUACUGGGCGUAAAGGGCGCGUAGGCGGACAGUUUAGUCAGAGGUGAAAGCCCAGGGCUCAACCUUGGAAUUGCCUUUGAUACUGGCUGUCUUGAGUACGGGAGAGGUGAGUGGAACUCCGGGUGUAGAGGUGAAAUUCGUAGAUAUGCGGAAGAACACCAGUGGCGAAGGCGACUCACUGGCCCGUUACUGACGCUGAGGCGCGAAAGCGUGGGGAGCAAACAGGAUUAGAUACCCGGGUAGUCC
Molecule: ribosomal RNA, 425 nt
Filed under: uncultured bacterium
Lineage: Bacteria
Description: partial 16S ribosomal RNA
Rfam family: Bacterial small subunit ribosomal RNA
Source: RNAcentral